CCUACGGGAGGCAGCAGUGGGGAAUUUUGGACAAUGGACGCAAGUCUGAUCCAGCCAUUCCGCGUGCAGGACGAAGGCCUUCGGGUUGUAAACUGCUUUUGUACGGAACGAAAAAGCUCUUAUUAAUACUAGGAGUCCAUGACGGUACCGUAAGAAUAAGCACCGGCUAACUACGUGCCAGCAGCCGCGGUAAUACGUAGGGUGCAAGCGUUAAUCGGAAUUACUGGGCGUAAAGCGUGCGCAGGCGGUUAUAUAAGACAGAUGUGGAAUCCCCGAGCUUAACUUGGGAACUGCAUUUGUGACUGUAUAGCUAGAGUACGGCAGAGGGGGAUGGAAUUCCGCGUGUAGCAGUGAAAUGCGUAGAUAUGCGGAGGAACACCGAUGGCGAAGGCAAUCCCCUGGGCCUGUACUGACGCUCAUGCACGAAAGCGUGGGGAGCAAACAGGAUUAGAUACCCUGGUAGUCCACGCCCUAAACGAUGUCAACUGGUUGUUGGGUCUUCACUGACUCAGUAACGAAGCUAACGCGUGAAGUUGACCGCCUGGGGAGUACGGCCGCAAGGUUGAAACGUCAAGGAUUGACGG
RNAcentral lists this ribosomal RNA (584 nucleotides) under uncultured bacterium. Its description in RNAcentral is "bacterial SSU rRNA". It matches the Rfam family "Bacterial small subunit ribosomal RNA", at positions 338 to 916 of the family's 1533-position model. The record is from RNAcentral.